UGCCGUUAGGCCAAAAAGGGCCUGGCAGUUUUACCGGGUAGUCGAGUGAGAAGGAGUCGAGUUGAAUAGAGUCGAGAGUUGAGUUGCCGAGUUGUUAUGAGUUGUGAUUUAUGAAUUAACUAUUUAAUCAUAGCACAUUACUGUAUUUAGUUCACGUUAAGUAACCAUCAUUUCCUGUCUAAUCCAUUGUAAAUAGAUCUAUCGAUCAAUAAACUUAUUAUAUAGGAUAAAUAAAAA
RNAcentral lists this unclassified non-coding RNA (237 nucleotides) under Bombus terrestris (buff-tailed bumblebee). RNAcentral's name for it is "misc RNA ENSBTSG00005030766.1". Lineage: Eukaryota; Metazoa; Arthropoda; Insecta; Hymenoptera; Apidae. The record is from RNAcentral.